GAGGGGAGUGAAAAAGAACCUGAAACCGUGUACGUACAAGCAGUGGGAGCCCCACCACCAAAGCAUUUGCUGUACCGCGUUGACGGAGCGAAGCGACGUCAAACCGAUAAAACAGCAGUGUAAAGUGAGCCGCAGGGCGCUUUGCGCGACAGCGCAAAGGCAGGCGGUUUCGCGUAGCGAAAGCGAAUGCUUUGGGGUGGGGUGACUGCGUACCUUUUGUAUAAUGGGUCAGCGACUUAUAUUCUGUAGCAAGGUUAACCGAAUAGGGGAGCCGGAGGGAAACCGAGUCUUAAUUGGGCGUUAAGUUGCAGGGUAUAGACCCGAAACCCGGUGAUCUAGCCAUGGGCAGGUUGAAGGUUGGGUAACACUAACUGGAGGACCGAACCGACUAAUGUUGAAAAAUUAGCGGAUGACCUGUGGCUGGGGGUGAAAGGCCAAUCAAACCGGGAGAUAGCUGGUUCUCCCCGAAAGCUAUUUAGGUAGCGCCUCGUGAAUUCAUCUCCGGGGGUAGAGCACUGUUUCGGCUAGGGGGCCAUCCCGGCUUACCAACCCGAUGCAAACUGCGAAUACCGGAGAAUGUUAUCACGGGAGACACACGGCGGGUGCUAACGUCCGUCGUGAAGAGGGAAACAACCCAGACCGCCAGCUAAGGUCCCAAAGUCAUGGUUAAGUGGGAAACGAUGUGGGAAGGCCCAGACAGCCAGGAUGUUGGCUUAGAAGCAGCCAUCAUUUAAAGAAAGCGUAAUAGCUCACUGGUCGAGUCGGCCUGCGCGGAAGAUGUAACGGGGCUAAACCAUGCACCGAAGCUGCGGCAGCGACACUGUGUGUUGUUGGGUAGGGGAGCGUUCUGUAAGCCUGUGAAGGUGUGUCGUGAGGCAUGCUGGAGGUAUCAGAAGUGCGAAUGCUGACAUAAGUAACGAUAAAGCGGGUGAAAAGCCCGCUCGCCGGAAGACCAAGGGUUCCUGUCCAACGUUAAUCGGGGCAGGGUGAGUCGACCCCUAAGGCGAGGCCGAAAGGCGUAGUCGAUGGGAAACGGGUUAAUAUUCCCGUACUUGGUGUUACUGCGAAGGGGGGACGGAGAAGGCUAUGUUGGCCGGGCGACGGUUGUCCCGGUUUAAGCGUGUAGGUGUGUGUUCCAGGUAAAUCCGGUUCACUUUAACACUGAGGCGUGACGACGAGGCACUACGGUGCUGAAGCAACAAAUGCCCUGCUUCCAGGAAAAGCCUCUAAGCAUCAGGUAACAUCAAAUCGUACCCCAAACCGACACAGGUGGUCAGGUAGAGAAUACCAAGGCGCUUGAGAGAACUCGGGUGAAGGAACUAGGCAAAAUGGUGCCGUAACUUCGGGAGAAGGCACGCUGACACGUAGGUGAAGUGAUUUACUCAUGGAGCUGAAGUCAGUCGAAGAUACCAGCUGGCUGCAACUGUUUAUUAAAAACACAGCACUGUGCAAACACGAAAGUGGACGUAUACGGUGUGACGCCUGCCCGGUGCCGGAAGGUUAAUUGAUGGGGUCAGCGCAAGCGAAGCUCCUGAUCGAAGCCCCGGUAAACGGCGGCCGUAACUAUAACGGUCCUAAGGUAGCGAAAUUCCUUGUCGGGUAAGUUCCGACCUGCACGAAUGGCGUAAUGAUGGCCAGGCUGUCUCCACCCGAGACUCAGUGAAAUUGAACUCGCUGUGAAGAUGCAGUGUACCCGCGGCAAGACGGAAAGACCCCGUGAACCUUUACUAUAGCUUGACACUGAACAUUGAGCCUUGAUGUGUAGGAUAGGUGGGAGGCUUUGAAGUGUGGACGCCAGUCUGCAUGGAGCCGACCUUGAAAUACCACCCUUUAAUGUUUGAUGUUCUAACGUGGACCCGUUACCCGGGUUGCGGACAGUGUCUGGUGGGUAGUUUGACUGGGGCGGUCUCCUCCUAAAGAGUAACGGAGGAGCACGAAGGUUGGCUAAUCCUGGUCGGACAUCAGGAGGUUAGUGCAAUGGCAUAAGCCAGCUUGACUGCGAGCGUGACGGCGCGAGCAGGUGCGAAAGCAGGUCAUAGUGAUCCGGUGGUUCUGAAUGGAAGGGCCAUCGCUCAACGGAUAAAAGGUACUCCGGGGAUAACAGGCUGAUACCGCCCAAGAGUUCAUAUCGACGGCGGUGUUUGGCACCUCGAUGUCGGCUCAUCACAUCCUGGGGCUGAAGUAGGUCCCAAGGGUAUGGCUGUUCGCCAUUUAAAGUGGUACGCGAGCUGGGUUUAGAACGUCGUGAGACAGUUCGGUCCCUAUCUGCCGUGGGCGCUGGAGAACUGAGGGGGGCUGCUCCUAGUACGAGAGGACCGGAGUGGACGCAUCACUGGUGUUCGGGUUGUCAUGCCAAUGGCACUGCCCGGUAGCUAAAUGCGGAAGAGAUAAGUGCUGAAAGCAUCUAAGCACGAAACUUGCCCCGA
RNAcentral lists this ribosomal RNA (2426 nucleotides) under Salmonella enterica subsp. enterica serovar Enteritidis. RNAcentral describes it as "partial 23S ribosomal RNA". It matches the Rfam family "Bacterial large subunit ribosomal RNA", at positions 531 to 2802 of the family's 2925-position model. Lineage: Bacteria; Pseudomonadati; Pseudomonadota; Gammaproteobacteria; Enterobacterales; Enterobacteriaceae. The record is from RNAcentral.